Molecule: unclassified non-coding RNA, 288 nt
Organism: Nomascus leucogenys (northern white-cheeked gibbon)
Lineage: Eukaryota; Metazoa; Chordata; Mammalia; Primates; Hylobatidae
Rfam family: Metazoan signal recognition particle RNA
About the family: The signal recognition particle (SRP) is a universally conserved ribonucleoprotein. It is involved in the co-translational targeting of proteins to membranes. The eukaryotic SRP consists of a 300-nucleotide 7S RNA and six proteins: SRPs 72, 68, 54, 19, 14, and 9.
Source: Ensembl
GCUGGGCAUGGUGGCAAUAUCUGUAGUCCCAGCUGCUUGGGAGUCUGAAGCAGGGAAUUUGAAUUUGGGUUUGGGAAUUCUAGGCUGUAGUGCACUAUGCCGAUCUAAGUUGGGCAUCAGUAUGGUGACCUCUGUGGAGUGGGGCACCACCAGGUUGCCUAAAGAGGGGUAAACUGACCUAGGUUGGAAACAGAACAAGUCAAAACUCCUGUGCUGAUAAGUAGUGGGAUCAAGCCUGUGAAUAGCCACUGCAUUCCAGCUGGGCAACAUAAAUAGACCCUGUCUCUU